GCUCUUCCGCUCAGGAAAACCAAAAAAUGGGAGAUUUAGAAAGCUCAGAAACUUGAUCCGACUGAAAAGAAAAGAAAUGGUGGACCUUGAAAAUUACUUCAGGUUUUCUCACUGCAUAGAAUAUAG
Myotis davidii is the source of this 126-nucleotide long non-coding RNA. RefSeq lists it as uncharacterized. The transcript is spliced from 3 exons. The record is from RefSeq and is a predicted model, not a curated record. Lineage: Eukaryota; Metazoa; Chordata; Mammalia; Chiroptera; Vespertilionidae.